RNAcentral lists this ribosomal RNA (207 nucleotides) under uncultured bacterium. Its description in RNAcentral is "partial 16S ribosomal RNA". It matches the Rfam family "Bacterial small subunit ribosomal RNA", at positions 568 to 774 of the family's 1533-position model. The record is from RNAcentral.
UGCGUAGGCGGCUUGGUGGGUCUGGUGUGAAAGCCCCGGGCUCAGCCCGGGAAGGGCGCUAGAAACUGCCAAGCUCGAGUGCCGGAGGGGAGAGUGGAAUUCCUGGUGUAGCGGUGAAAUGCGUAGAGAUCAGGAGGAAUACCGGUGGCGAAAGCGACUCUCUGGACGGCAACUGACGCUGAGGCACGAAAGCGUGGGGAGCAAACA